AGAUUGAACGCUGGCGGCAUGCCUUACACAUGCAGGUCGAGCGGCAGCGCGGGGGCAACCCUGGCGGCGAGCGGCGAACGGGUGAGUAAUACAUCGGAACGCGUCCUUUCGUGGGGGAUAACCAGUCGAAAGACUGGCUAAUACCGCAUGAGAUCUCACGAUGAAAGCGAGGGACCGCAAGGCCUCGCGCGAUUGGAGCGGCCGAUGUCGGAUUAGCUAGUUGGCGGGGUAAAAGCCCACCAAGGCGACGAUCCGUAGCUGGUUUGAGAGAACGACCAGCCACACUGGGACUGAGACACGGCCCAGACUCCUACGGGAGGCAGCAGGUGGGGAAUUUUGGACAAUGGGCGCAAGCCUGAUCCAGCCAUGCCGCGUGUGUGAAGAAGGCCUUCGGUUGUAAGCUACUUUCGGCCGGAACGAAUACGCGCGGUUAAUACGUCCGCGUGGAGUGACGGUACCGAAGAAGAAGCGACGCUAACUACG
RNAcentral lists this ribosomal RNA (483 nucleotides) under uncultured soil bacterium. Its description in RNAcentral is "bacterial SSU rRNA". It matches the Rfam family "Bacterial small subunit ribosomal RNA", at positions 26 to 505 of the family's 1533-position model. The record is from RNAcentral.